UGGUUUAGUGUUUUAUAGAGCAUCCUAAUUUUUCGUGUUAGGGGAGGCCGUUGGGUCAACCAG
This 63-nucleotide transfer RNA is filed under the name Metorchis orientalis. Its description in RNAcentral is "tRNA-Glu". Lineage: Eukaryota; Metazoa; Platyhelminthes; Trematoda; Opisthorchiida; Opisthorchiidae. The record is from RNAcentral.